AAAAAAAACAUGAACUUCACUAAUAAUUAUCAGUCACUUAAAAAAACAUGAACUUAAAAAAAUCAGUCACUUAAAAAACAUGAACUUCACUAAUAAAUAUCUUGGUUUCAUGAAACACAGCAAAAAAACUAGGAACACAAGGCGUUGAAGAAGGAGAAGAAGACGUUGAAGAAGGAGAAGAAAACGCGACUAGAUCUCUUCCCUCAGUUACACACUUUUAUAUAUGUCCAUAUAACAAAAUCGGACCCUUCGAUUAGGUUAUCCGGAUUCAAAAAAAUAAUAAAAAAACCAACUCGUACCCUCCGAUUUCAUUCCCAUAACAUUCAAAAAAAUUUCCCAUUACAAGCAAAACGGAGGGUCCGAAUUCCUCCUUC
Molecule: long non-coding RNA, 374 nt
Filed under: Arachis ipaensis
Lineage: Eukaryota; Viridiplantae; Streptophyta; Magnoliopsida; Fabales; Fabaceae
Description: long non-coding RNA (AIPA_LNC001633)
Source: RNAcentral